Molecule: ribosomal RNA, 393 nt
Filed under: uncultured bacterium
Lineage: Bacteria
Description: partial 16S ribosomal RNA
Rfam family: Bacterial small subunit ribosomal RNA
Source: RNAcentral
CCUACGGGUGACUGCAGUGAGGAAUAUUGGUCAAUGGACGAGAGUCUGAACCAGCCAAGUAGCGUGAAGGAUGACUGCCCUAUGGGUUGUAAACUUCUUUUAUAAAGGAAUAAAACGAGGCACGUGUGCCUUUUGCAUGUACUUUAUGAAAAAGGAUCGGCUAACUCCGUGCCAGCAGCCGCGGUAAUACGGAGGAUCCGAGCGUUAUCCGGAUUUAUUGGGUUUAAAGGGAGCGUAGAUGGGUUGUUAAGUCAGUUGUGAAAGUUUGCGGCUCAACCGUGAAAUUGCAAUUGAAACUGAGAGUCUUGAGUACAGAUGGGGAAGGCGGAAUUCAUGGUGUAGCGGUGAAAUGCUUAGAUAUCACGAAGAACCCCGAUUGCGAAGGCAACUUAC